AGAGUUUGAUCCUGGCUCAGAACGAACGCUGGCGGCAUGGAUUAGGCAUGCAAGUCGAACGAAGAACUGGAAGCUUGCUUCCGGGGACGAGUGGCGAAAGGGUGAGUAACGCGUGAGUAAUCUGCCCUCAAGUUUGGAAUAACGUUGGGAAACCGACGCUAAUACCGGAUGUGGUUUUACUGUUGCAUAGCAGUUUAACUAAAGAUUUAUUGCUUGAGGAUGGGCUCGCGUCCCAUUAGCUAGUUGGUGAGGUAACUGCUCACCAAGGCAACGAUGGGUAGGUGGUCUGAGAGGAUGGUCACCCACACUGGGACUGAGACACUGCCCAGACUCCUACGGGAGGCUGCAGUCGAGAAUCUUCCGCAAUGCGCGAAAGCGUGACGGAGCGAUGCCGCGUGGUCGAUGAAGGCCUUCGGGUUGUAAAGACCUGUCACAUGGGACGAAUUUUGACGGUACCAUGAGAGGAAGCCACGGCUAACUACGUGCCAGCAGCCGCGGUAAUACGUAGGUGGCGAGCGUUGUUCGGAUUUAUUGGGCGUAAAGGGUCCGCAAGGGGUAUGUUAAGUCUGAUGUGAAAUCCCGGAGCUCAACUCCGGAACUGCAUUGGAAACUGACGUACUAGAGUGCUGGAGAGGUAAGCGGAAUUCCUGGUGUAGCGGUGGAAUGCGUAGAUAUCAGGAAGAACACCGAGAGCGAAGGCAGCUUACUGGACAGUAACUGACCCUCAGGGACGAAAGCGUGGGUAGCGAACAGGCUUAGAUACCCUGGUAGUCCACGCCGUAAACGUUGUGAACUUGUUGUGGGGGGAUUUAGCCCCCUCCGUGACGGAGCUAACGCAUUAAGUUCACCGCCUGGGGACUACGGCCGCAAGGCUAAAACUCAAAGGAAUUGACGGGGGCCCGCACAAGCGGUGGAGCAUGUGGCUUAAUUCGAGGCAACGCGAAGAACCUUACCUGGGCUUGAAAUAUACCGGAUCAUCCAUGGAAACAUGGACUUCCUUCGGGACUGGUAUACAGGUGCUGCAUGGCUGUCGUCAGCUCGUGCCGUGAGGUGUUCGGUUAAGUCCGGCAACGAGCGCAACCCGUGUCAUCAAUUGCCAGCGCGUAAUGGCGGGGACUUUGGUGAGACUGCCCGUGUCAAGCGGGAGGAAGGCGCGGAUGACGUCAAGUCAGUAUGGCCCUUAUGUCCAGGGCUGCACACGUGCUACAAUGGCCGGUAUAAUGGGCAGCAAUACCGCGAGGUGGAGCAAAUCCUUAAAACCGGUCUUAGUUCGGAUUGGAGUCUGCAACUCGACUCCAUGAAGUUGGAAUCGCUAGUAAAGGCGUAUCAGCUACGACGCCUUGAAUACGUUCCCGGGCCUUGUACACACCGCCCGUCACAUCAUGGAAGCUGAUUGCACCCGAAGUCGUUGACCCAACCCUUUACGGGAGGGAGACGCCGAAGGUGUGGUUGGUAACUGGGAUGAAGUCGUAACAAGGUA
This 1480-nucleotide ribosomal RNA is filed under the name metagenome. RNAcentral describes it as "bacterial SSU rRNA". It matches the Rfam family "Bacterial small subunit ribosomal RNA". The record is from RNAcentral.